GAUGAACGCUGGCGGCGUGCCUAAUACAUGCAAGUCGAGCGAACGGACGAGAAGCUUGCUUUUCUGAUGUUAGCGGCGGACGGGUGAGUAACACGUGGAUAACCUACCUAUAAGACUGGGAUAACUUCGGGAAACCGGAGCUAAUACCGGAUAAUAUUUUGUACCGCAGGGUUCAAAAGUGAAUGACGGCCUUGCUGUCACUUAUAGAUGGAUCCGCGCUGCAUUAGCUAGUUGGUAAGGUAACGGCUUACCAAGGCAACGAUGCGUAGCCGACCUGAGAGGGUGAUCGGCCACACUGGAACUGAGACACGGUCCAGACUCCUACGGGAGGCAGCAGUAGGGAAUCUUCCGCAAAGGGCGAAAGCCUGACGGAGCAACGCCGCGUGAGUGAUGAAGGUCUUCGGAUCGUAAAGCUCUGUUAUUGGGGAAGAACAUAUGUGUAAGUAACUGUGCACAUCUUGACGGUACCUAAUCAGAAAGCCACGGCUAACUACGUG
This 497-nucleotide ribosomal RNA is filed under the name uncultured bacterium. RNAcentral's name for it is "partial 16S ribosomal RNA". It matches the Rfam family "Bacterial small subunit ribosomal RNA", at positions 28 to 507 of the family's 1533-position model. The record is from RNAcentral.